RNAcentral lists this ribosomal RNA (428 nucleotides) under uncultured bacterium. Its description in RNAcentral is "bacterial SSU rRNA". It matches the Rfam family "Bacterial small subunit ribosomal RNA", at positions 355 to 776 of the family's 1533-position model. The record is from RNAcentral.
UGGGGAAUAUUGGACAAUGGGCGAAAGCCUGAUCCAGCAACGCCGCGUGGGUGAUGAAGGCCUUCGGGUUGUAAAGCCCUGUCGGAUGGAACGAAACCGGCAGACUUAACACGUCUGUCAUUGACGGUACCAUCAAAGGAAGCACCGGCUAACUCUGUGCCAGCAGCCGCGGUAAGACAGAGGGUGCAAGCGUUGUUCGGAAUCACUGGGCGUAAAGGGCGCGUAGGUUGUCUGGUUUGUCUGUUGUGAAAUCCCAUGGCUCAACCAUGGAAAUGCAAUGGAAACUGCCAGACUAGAGUGCAAGAGGGGAUGGCGGAAUUCCCGGUGUAGAAGUGAAAUUCGUAGAUACCGGGAGGAACACCUGUGGCGAAAGCGGCCAUCUGGAUUGUAACUGACACUGAGGCGCGAAAGCAUGGGGAGCAAACAGG